AAUUUGUUUUGUCUUUCUUCUCGAAAAAUCUCUCUGAUACAAUUUAAGAGACCCCACCUUUCAUAUAUAACACCUACAUAUAUACAUCCAUGUUUUAGUUCGAGACCUCAAAAAUUCCUUCUCUUCUCUCUCUCUCUCUCUAUAUAUAAAUAUAUUUAUAAAUACAAUACAUAUUUUUAUGUGUAUAUAUAUACAUAUAUGUACAGAUACACACACGUUAUUUAUAAAUAAUAUUUGAGGAGAAAAUUGAGAUGGGAUUUGUUAUCAGGAACAUCGUUGUGGCUACUACAAGGAGGCUGCCUUCAGAUUCUGGUGCCUUUGCAGACUGGGUGGCUUCUCUGAAGUCAAUCGGUCAAACUUCAUGUUGGUUGGGUUCAUGAACAAGAUGAAUAAGAAAAAAAAAUAUAUAAAAUUAAAAAUAAAAUAAAAUAAAAUAAAAUUAUAAUUUUAAAAUAUAUUUUUUAGUUUUUUAUUUUAUUUUAAAUUUUUUUAAUUAAAAUUAUUAUUUGGACCAAUAAAAAAUUGACACGUGGCACUUUAUUUGGGUUUAACGGAUCCGUUAGAAAAAGGACCAACGGACAAACAAAAAUUGGGACCUUAGGUAUUUUCACCGCCAAUUUUUGAGGUUGAGGACUAAUCGGCAUCAAACUUAAAUUUUUGGGGACUUUUGCCGCAAUUAUCCCUAUUUUUAUUGAUUUAUAGUUGUUUUUAUAUGUUUUGUUAAGUUGUUCUAGGGUUAUUUUUUAGUUGUUUUGAGUUAUUUUUUUUAUUUUACUAAAACACAAUAUUAUUUGUAAUUUUGAAACUUUAAACACAAUAUUUUUGUAAAAUUGGUAUAGUAAAAAUAUAAAAAAAAAAAUCCGUGUCAUAGUGUAUUUGUAAAUUUUUUUAUAUUUUAUAAUAUUUUGUAAGUUUCCCAAAAUACCAAAAAAAAAAAAAUUAAUUCUAUCUAAAUCUCAUGUAAUGAAUUUUUAAAAGAAAAAAUAGACUCGCAACAAAAUAUUUGACAACUGAAUUUUCAAAAUUUUGAUAAGCUACAAUCAAUUGAAGAGAACAUAAAUUUUAAUUAAUAUAUUAUUGUCCCAAAUUAAAAUAAUAAUAACAUAAAUAUUAUUAAAUUAUUAUAACAUUUAAUAAAUUUUAGAUGUAUAUACACAACAAGUUAAUAAUCGGCGACCAACUUUUCAAUAAUUGAUGUUUGUACUAUUUACCCUCAUGUUUUGUUCAUUGAAUUUUAUUCCCUAGAGAUCGGAUGGUUUGAAAUCAAUUGUGGUACGUUCCUCACUUUUAAACUGAAGGACUACAUGAUGACCCAUUAAAUAAAGUGUAGUUGAUUGAAAAAAAAGUCUCUGACACACAAAUGUGUCUGUAAUACAUGGUUCUGCUCAACUUUUCAGAAGCUGAUGAUGGCCUUUUGCACCACACAAUUAAAACAUGCAUACAUUACAUUGACACACAUAUCUACCAAAAUUUGUGCAAUUAAUAUGUGGAACUAUGAAAGGAGAAGUUCCUUUCUUUCUCCUAUAAAUAUAGUGGGCAUUACAUCAAACAAGUGUGUAAACGAAUUACAAAAGAAAUAAUAUUCCCUAUAGCUAAACACAACUUAUACAUUUUCCUAUAAUCAUAUUCUCAUACUAAACGCCAAUUUUUAAUGGAGUAAAAAAAUUAAGAGCAAUUUCAGGGCAAAAAAUUAUAAAUAACCAUUGAGUUAUCAUAUACAAUUUAUUUUACAUUUAUAUUUAAAAAAAUUUAAAUAUACCACAGCAAAACCCGAGUUGUUUACUAGUUUUAUAAUAAAUUAGACAUGUGACUUACCAUUCGUCUUUUAUACUUAAAUAAUGUGAUUCUCUUUUUUUUUUAUUUUCACACAAAAAAGUAAUUAAAAUUUUCAAAUAUCUUUCUAACAUUGUAUGUGGGCCUAGAACAUUAUUGAAGGAAAUGCCAUAAAUUGGCAUUGAUGGUUGUUUCAGCCUAUGUGUACGUACAAAAUUUAAUGUUUAAUAAUCUUUUUUUUGUCCUUUUCAUUAUAGCUUCCAAUUAAUAUGCAUUUAGCUUCUCACAUGUGUGGGUCAAUUCAUUGAUAUGCAGAAAAGUACAUGUUUCAUCAUAUAAAAUUCAAUAUAUGAAAUUUUUAUAGGAAAAUUUGAAAUUUCAUGCUUAAUAAAUCUAAAAAAUUGGUCCCCUAAACUAAUACUAUGUAUCAUUUGUAAAAUGGGAUAACUUUUUCUAAAAUCUAAUUUUACCCCCCUUUACAUUACCCCUCUCCCCUCUCUCUUCUUCUCAAUCCCUUAUUCAUUCAAUAACUCCAACCGAACUCCACUCAUACAUUUUAUAUGCAUACUAAAAAUAUUUUCAUAAUAUUUUACAAAAAAAAAAAAGAUUUUCAUAAUAUUAUAUAUUAAAUUAUAUUUAAGACAAUAUCAUAAUAUAUCUGUUAAAAAAAAAUAAUAAUAAAUCCUACCAUAAUGACAUUAUGAUAGUAAUAAUAAUAAAUUAAUAACAUUAACUCCUAUCUUUAAAUAGCCCCAUAUACCAUUUUAAAAAUUAAUUAGAGUAGAUUACAAUAACUUUAUUUUCCUAAUAAAUAUAUAUUCUAAUUAUACUCAAAUCAAUUAAAGAAAAAGAUCAGCAUAAACCAAAUUGGAAAUAAAUCCUACCCUUAUGACCAUCGGACCCCCCAAAUCCCAUCGGACCAUAGCAUCGGACCAUCGGACCCCCAAAUCCCAUCGGACCAUCGGACCCGAGCAUCGGACCCAUUGGGCCCGAUUUCAAUUUGAAGAAACCAUGACCAUCGGACCCCUAUCGGUCCGAGCAUUGGACCCAUCGGGCCCGAUUUCUAUUUUGAACAAACCGAGACCAUCGGACCCGUAUCAUAAGUUUUCAGAUCAUCUUUCUAACAGAAAUUUCUCUCUUCAGAAAAACUGAGCCUUCCCCACUUUCUAUACCUGGCCGAAAUCCCUCUUCUCUUUUCUUCUUCAUCAAUUUCGACCCUAGUGAGAGAGUAAGUGCCCACACACAGCAAGCAGUAACUCAAUCAUAGAUUGGAAGACUGUGAAUGAUCAAACUUGAAGAAGAAGGACAUUCGGGCUCAGAUCUUGAUUAUACUCUGCUACAAAAAGAAUACAAGGGUUAGAGAUCUGAGUGGAAGGAGACAUUAAUUCCGCUGCAUCAAUGUAAGGUUUUCUUAACUUUAUAUGUGUUUAAUUUAUCGUUUUAGAAAGUUCACAUUUAGGGUGUUUAAAUAACAUACUUGUGAGUAGAUCUAAGAUCCUGGUAAAAUAAAUAUCCAACAUUAGCACCUAUGAGUCAUAGAGACUCAGCCAAAAAAGUGAUUAAACCAUAACAACAUAAACCUCAAUUAAUCAUAUCGUAACAAAAUGCACGCAAACAUAACACAUCGCACACUAACAUGCUUAUACAACUUCAUAAUAAUAAUCACACAAUCUCAGUACUUCAUAAAGUACCGUUACCACUCGAUAACCACGAGCUAUGUAUGUCAAUAUCGUUCCCCGAUACAGCAAACGAUAAGUAAGAAACCUAUCCGUAAUUUCAAGAGUAAUUACUCGUAACGGUAAUGACUGUUUCCAACCCUCGGUCAUAACCAAGGCAUAAUAAACACAUAACCAGGAUGCCGAUCAUAAUUGAGACUAUAAUAAACACAAUCACCAAUCACUUAAUCCGAAGUGAUGCAUAACACUUUUCUUACCUCAGUCCAGAAAUCAGGUGUGCGGACCGACCUGAGUGGAAACAAAGCUGGGCGAUCCUGAUCCAAUGUCACGAUAACAAAAACUCAAUAAAUGCCUUAAAUCAAAACUCCAAAACAAAAUCCUAAAUUUGAAACCAGACAUAACCCAACUUCCAACAAUCCCAAAAUAGGUAACACAGCACAUAAAUACCCUAAAAAAGGUACUGGAUACCACCCCAAGCCAAAACAAAACUCGAAGAAAAUCCAAAAUUUCCCCCUGCAGGGCAACCGGUCGACCAGUUCUGGCAUACCCAAAAAUUCGAGUUUUCUUCCCAAAAUUCAAACCAAACCCCCUCCAAACCUGUCCAACAGCUCCAGAAUAGAUGAAUAACAUAUACACAAUAUUUACAAAGCACCAUAUCACUUCAGUUCAUCAAAUUAAAGAUCAAUAGCAUAAUUACAUAGAAAUUGCCUCAUAUCAAACCUUCAAUUCUCUAACCUAACACCAGCAGUCCUAUUUCUACCCAAACCUAACUUAAACAAGCUUUAAUCUGAACCUAAAAACAAAUGUUAAUCUCAAUUAUUCUUUAAUUGUAAAAGUCUUGAAACCCUAACCUAAAACCUAAUCUAAGUCUAAGAAAUCCAAAGGAAAAGCACCAAGAACUUACCUCUUGUGUAAACACUCUUACUCUUGAUAAAUUCCAGCUGAAAAUGGAAGAAAAACUCCUUGGUUGUGGCUGGCCCUUAAGGUUUCGAAUGGUAGAAGAGGGAGGGGAAGAAUUUUCUAUGUUUUGGCUUUAUCCCUUAAUUACAUAAGAUAAUUGAUAACCUAAAUUUUUAUAUAUUAAUAUUAACUUAAUAAUCAGCCUAUUCACUAGAAGGGUACAUAGAAAUAAAAUAGGGUAAAAUGACUAUUUUACCCUUCCCCAUAAAAAUGAAGCUAUAGAAUAACCUAGGGGCAUUUUGGUAAUUCUAACUAAUCCGCAAAACCGACAACCCAACACUUUAAACUAGUCCAGAAUAAAAAUCUAAUUUAUAUUUUAUUAUCGUGACAUAUUUGACUACUCCGUCAAAUUCCCACGAUCGCCGCCUUGAAAACAUUUAUUCUAGAAAUGGUAUCCACGAUACCCAUAUAUUUCAAUUGUUAUAGAUCAAGACCUACCGGUACAGUGUGGAGUAAAUGUUACACGCUUAUCCUAAUUAGGGGGUAUUUCAGAACGAUUGUAGAGUCUGAUCAGGUAGCAAGAACUAGCUACUCAGUGGAUUGCUCAAAUAACUGUAAUUCUCUAUGAUGAUAUGCUUUAAAACUUACUCGAUCUUUAUAGAUCAAGACCUACCGACACAAUGUGGAGUAAAUCUUACAUGCUUAUCCUAAGUAGGGGGUAUUUCAUCCACGUUAGACUUUGUUUAGUAAAAUUAGACAAAAAUUUUUAACUCUAAUAAUCUCGUUAGUUCUGAGCAUGAUUUGGUACGUAAUUCAGUGGUCAAAAAUCUAAAUUAGCCUAUUGAAUAUUUAUGAGGAAUUAUAUGAAAAAAACAUUAAAAUAAUUAAAAAGUAUAGACAUUUAUACAAUUUAAUAAACAUAAACAUGACAAGCUUAUAUUAUUUUUAAUAAAUAAAAAUGAAAAAAAAUCAUAUUUUCCAUCAUUAUUCUCUAAAAUAUAUAUACAAGUGAAAUUAACCUAUCAUAAAAAUCUUAUUUAAUAUGAUGCAACUAUUGAUGUGCUAAAAAAUAAUUUUUAUAUGGUAAAGAUAAUUUAAGCCGCUAACUCUUUGAAUUUAGUCACUUAAUUUUGUUAAAAAAUAAAUAAAAAAAAAAGUUAACAGUUAAAAUAUUACUUUAGUAAUUUAUUAAUUAGUUAAAUUUCUUUUGCCACGUGAAAACUCAAAAGUUCAAACACUUAUUUAUAGCCUAGUGUAAUGGGAGUUACAAAACUUCAUAUAUUUAUUAUUUAUUUUUUAAAUAAUAAUAAUAAUAAUGACCAUUGGAUGAUUAUUAAUCAUUUAAUCCAAUAGUCAAGAAAUAUAUAAUUAUUAUUUUUUUCAAUUUUAUUUAAUUUUAUUUUUUGCUAUAUAAUUUCUCAUAACUAUCAUUUCUGUUUCUCUCUUUCUUUCUCUCUUUAAAUUUGUAUACACUCUUUUCUCUCAAAAAUAUUUUUCAAGUUUUAAACUUUAACACAUAAAAAGAAAGAGUAAUUUGCGGUAUAAAUACCUAGGUUUAACUCCCAGUUGUAAAUAAAUACAUAAGUUUAAUUUUUGGCGGUAAUAAUACCUAUGUUAUAAUUCUGAAAGUUUGUAUGUAUCUAGCUGUUAAGUGUCAAGUAAAUUACCAUUUGGCAAUUUCUUAUUAGUCAAAAUCAUUAUAUAUUUAUUUUUUCAAAAAAAAUUAAUUUAAAUAUACCAAUCAGAAAAUGACACGUGGAUAAUGAUUUAAUAUUUAAUGGUCAGGUACUUACAGAGUUUCAAAAAUAUAACUUAGCUAUUAUUACCGCCAAAAAUUAAAUUUAGCUAUUUAUUUAUAACUGGGGGUUAAACUUAAGUAUUUAUGCCCAUAAAUUACUCAAAAAUAUAAACUUUGUAUUUUACCAUUGUAUGAACUCUGUCUCUGGUCUCAUUAAAUUCAAUCCAAAUUUACAAAAAAGCUAUUUUUUUUUAAGAAAAACAAAGCCAUUUAUUUUUUAAUAAAUCUGUAUAGUCAUUUCACCUACCCAACACAUGUAUUUUACCAUUGUAUGAACUCUGUCUCUGGUCUCAUUAAAUUCAAUCCAAAUUUACAAAAAAGCUAUUUUUUUUUUAAGAAAAACAAAGCCAUUUAUUUUUUAAUAAAUCUGUAUAGUCAUUUCACCUACCCAACACAUGUAUUAUCUGGUUUAGGAUAAUUUAAGUAUUACUUUACAACUUUGAUAAAAAAUAAUAUUCUAUUUAUGAAAGACCUUCAAUUUAAAUAUUAAAAUAAUCUAAUAGUUUUGUAUGAAUAUAUUUGCUUUUGUUUUACUCACAAGUGGAAGUCAUUCCCCCAAAAGUACAUGGGGAUGGAAUGGUUGGCCUUUUUUUUUAACUAAUGUAUAUAAAUUAUGUUAUAUAUAAAUGUAUAUAAUAAAAAUAUUAUAUAAAAAAUGAAUUGUUUAUGGGAUUUCAUUUCAAAAUCAAUUGGUAAUGAGUAGAGUAACCCGUGUUCUUGUAUAUGACUCAAUACUUUACCAUUUAUUCUACGUGGAACAAUUAUGUACACCCCUACUAGUGACUAUGCUAGAAUUUGGUGCCCAAAAUUUACUUGAAUUUGUAUAAGUCUUCUUGACAUUUUUCAGUAUUGGCCUAAUAGAGUGCCAUCCCUGAGCAAAAGUCACACAAAGCUGAUGAUCUAUCUGUAAGGGCCUUCUGCACCACACAAUUAAUACAUGCAUACAUUACAUUGACACACACGCAUCUACCAAAAUUUGUGCAAUUAAUAUGUGAAACUAUUAAAGGAAAAGUACCUUUUCUUUCUCCUAUAAAUACAGUGGCCAUUACAUCAAACAAGUGUGUAAAAAAAUUACAAAAAAAAAAUAUAUAUAUAUAUAUUAAAGUAUAGGAGAGUAAGAAAAGAAUGAUGAAGAAGUUUAUGGUAAUAGCGUUGGUAGUGGGUGUGAUGGUUGUGGGGUGCUUUGGUCGACUACAAUCGGAUGUUCAUCUGAAUUUGGUACCUAACAGGUGUAUGGUACCUGGUGAAUAUUGUCAUUGGGCACAACACAAGACAUGCUGUGAAGGACUGCAUUGUGAAGGUGAGAGGGGAUGGGGUGAGAAUCGGAAAUGUGUCCAUGUAACAAACUGUUUACAAGCUGGCUAUUCUUGUGCUGCUUUAUCACCUCCCUGUUGCUACCCGAUGCGUUGCACAUCUAUCCAGCGGGGGGGACUUUGUGCUACCCCUGGUUUGGAGCUAGAUGUUCAACAAAACGCCUCAUAAGAUAUAAUUAAUAUAAAGUGCCAUUAGCGCUGAGUCUCAACGAAGCAUGUAGUAGCUUGGUGUGGUGUGGUUUGUUUUAGUAAUUAUAGAAAGUGUCCUUGGCCCUUAGUCUCACAAAGCAUGUAGUAGCUUGGUGUGGUGUGGUUUGUUUCAGUAAUAAUGAAAAGUGCCAUUGGGCAUUUUUUGUUGUGUGUUUGGUUUAGCUUUGAGAUUAAUUAGCAUUCCCUGUGUAUGUAAGGCAUUUUCUUGUGACGGUUUGUUUUAUUUGUUUAUGAGUUCUUCUCUGGCUUUUCAUGAAAGGGUUUCUAUGAUCUGUGCUUGGGAUUUGGGAGUGACCAUAAUUUUAUGGAAGAAAACAAAAAACGAUGCAGCAAAAACAAAAACAGGAAAGCAUUUAUUUGCAAAUUAAACAAAUAAUUUAUUUACUGAAAUCUUAUUAUAUAUAUGUACAUACAAAUAUAAUACAAUAGACGGGGCUGGCUAAAGACCAGUAAAAAAAAAUUAGGAUGGACGUGUUUAUUUAAUAAAGACCAUUAGAUUUAAAUCAAUGGUAGAUAUUUUUUAAAAGUAAUAAAAUUUGAGUAUUAAUGUCUCUUCUGCUUAGCUAUACCGGUUACACCCGGUUCAUUUAUUUGUUUCUUUAAAAAUAAUCGAUCGACUUGCCAUGGAAGGGUCUCUUCCUCUUUCUCCGAAUCCGGCGAACAAAGGGCAUCUCCUUGUUCUUGCUCCGACACCGGCGAACAAAGGGCAUCUCUUUGCUCUUGCUCCGACUCCGGCUGACUAAGGGCAUCUCCUUGCUCUUUCUCCGACUCUGGCGAACAAAGGGCAUCUCUUUGCUCUUGCUCCGACUCCAACGAACAAAGGGCAUCUCCUUGCUCUUUCUCCGACUCCGGCGAACAAAGGGCAUCUCUUUGCUCUUUCUCCGACUCCGACGAACAAAGGGCAUCUCCUUGCUCUUUCUCCGACUCCGUCGGCCAUCUUGUUGUUAUUUCUCCCAUGUACUAUCGAGGCAAUAAUGCACGAAAAUAAAGCUCACGGAAAGUGUGGACCCUAAAUACGAGUCUAGCCGGCCUAUCCCUAGGACCGGCCCUGGGCACAAGGCAAGAUUUGCUGUGAAGGACUGCAUUGUAUAGGUGAUGGAGGAUGGGGUGAGAAUCGAAGAUGUGAACCUGUCUCAAGCUGUAAACAAGCUGGCGAAGGUUGUGCUUUGCUAUCAGAUCCCUGUUGCUACCCAAUGAUGUGCUCAGCUACCUCGCAGGGAGAAUGUUAUACCCCUGGAUUGGCCUUAGCUGAUGUUCAACAAAACACCCCAUCAUCAAAAACUUCAACUUAUUAGAAAACUAUGUAGUAGUCUUGUAUGUUUCUCAUUGUUAUGUUCUAUGCUCUGUGUUUGAGAAUAUUGUAGGUGUGUGUACUGGUGUGGUUUGUUUCAGAAAUAAUCACAAGUGCCCUUGGGACAUUUGUUGUGGCUGGUUUGGUCUAGUUUAACAUCAUUAUGACUUUAGGGUAUUUCUCGUAUGUGUUUGUCUUGUUUUAUUUGUUUAUGUGAGUUCUUGUUUGGAUGUAUAUGUUUCUUAAUUGUCUUCUUGCGUUUAAUUAAUGAAGGGUUUCUUUUCUA
Long non-coding RNA from Cannabis sativa, 9247 nucleotides. RefSeq lists it as uncharacterized. The record is from RefSeq and is a predicted model, not a curated record. The transcript has 3 exons. NCBI's taxonomy places the organism in Eukaryota, Viridiplantae, Streptophyta, Magnoliopsida, Rosales, Cannabaceae.